CUUGUUAAGCAAGAAGUCUCCAGCCAAGUGCGAGUGCCGCGAGAACCCUUCAGCCCAGCUACCCCGAGGAAGGGACCAACUGGCAUCUCUUUUGGGAAUCAGAAAAAAGAGAAGGAAGAGAAGAAAAAGGAAGAAGAAGGAGGAGGAGAAGAACAAGGAGAACAAGAAGAGAAGGGGAAAGAGAAAGGGAAAGAGAAAGGGAAAGAAGAACAAGAAUAGUGAAGAGAAUAACGAUGAAGAAAUUGGAUGUAAAGUCACUUGUCCAAGAUUAUACAGGACAUAAGCAGUUCUUUCAGAAGAAAGGCCUGGAGAGACUUACAUGAACUGAUGCUGAGUGAAAUGAGCAGGGCCAGGAGAGCAUUAUAUAUUUCAACAACAAUCCUAUAUGAUGAUCAAUUCUGAUGGACGUGGCCAUCUUCAACAAUGAGAUGAACCAAAUCAGCUCCAAUAGAACAGUAAUGAACUGAACCAGCUACACCCAGGGAAAGAACUCUGGGAGAUAACUAUGAACCACUACAUAGAAUUCCCAAUCCCUCUAUUUCUGUCCACCUGCAUUUUUGACUUCCUUCACAGGCUAAUUGUACACUAUUUCAAAGUCUGACUCUUUUUAUACAGCAAAAUAACUGUUUGGACAUGUAUACAUAUCUUGUAUUUAACUUAUACUUUAACAUAUUUAACAUGUAUUGGUCAUCCUGACAUCUAGGGGAGGGGGUGGGGGAAAGGAAGGAAAAAGUUGGAACAAAAGGAUUUGCAACUAUCAAUGCUGAAAAAUUACCUAUGCAUAUAUCUGGUAAAUUAAAAGUUAUAAUUUAAAAAAUAUGAUCUGUAAAUAAUCCUCUUUGGGGAAACUAUCAGCCAGAGAAAGCUAUGGUUCAGAAAUGGUCAGAUAUGAAAGGGCAAGGGAGCCAGCUGGGAGGAGAAAGGUCUUGGAGGGAGUGGUGUCCAAAGGCAUUGAUGAAGUUCCUGUCCUAAUAUUUACCAUCCAGGGUCAGCAGCUGGAGGAGAGUGAGGGUCAGGGAGGAGGGGGAGAAAGGGAAGAGACACAGACAAAUCUGUAGCAAGCAGUCUUUUCUAAAUGAAGACAGAGCCCUUGGAAUUUUUCUCUGCUAGAUUGCCAAUUUAGAAGGUACUUCAGGGCAAAAGUAAGGGAUAUUUUUGAUGUUUUUUGCUUUGUUUCCUAAUAGAGGUUCCAAAUCAUUCCAAAGAAUCCCCAACAAGACAUAGAAGACAAGAAAAUGACAAAGACCGCAACAAUUACAUUGUACAAUGCAAAAAUAUGGCUGUAUUUUCCCCAAUGCAUAUAAGCAGAAGCAAACCCAAAUAAUGUUUCAUUCAUUUACUAUUAUUAAAUUAUGUGCUACUUUAUGGAAAAAUAAGAGAAAGAAACGUUCUGUGUAAAAAGAAAAAAUAUAAUACAUGCUGCCUUACAGCAGUAAGAGUUUGAAAAAAAAUAUGCAUUUCUUCAUCCUUCAUGUAUUUAUUUAUAAAAUGGUAUAAUACCAUCAGUAGUCCCUCCAUCUAAGGUUUGACAUGAUACUGAAGGAGAUGAUGAGAUGAUGUAUGUUUAGCAUAUAAGA
This is a long non-coding RNA of Antechinus flavipes (yellow-footed antechinus), 1577 nucleotides long. RefSeq lists it as uncharacterized. NCBI's taxonomy places the organism in Eukaryota, Metazoa, Chordata, Mammalia, Dasyuromorphia, Dasyuridae. The transcript is spliced from 4 exons. The record is from RefSeq and is a predicted model, not a curated record.